ACACACACACACACACACACACACACACACACACAAGCAAGCAAGCACGUAAACGAACAAACAAGCAAACAAACAUGUAUACAUACACACAAACAAAGCGGCGGGAGGCAUACAGACAGACGCAGACAAAUGGCCACAUGGACGGCAGAAAAAUGGCAGCAAUCCCCCACAAUAUUUCCAACCUAAAAAGUAAUUAACAAGAAAAAUGAAGAUAAACAACCGUAAAUAUGACAGGUAAAUAAAUAAUUAUAAGGUAUCACCUAGAUAAUUGUGACAAAGUAAGAACAGCAGGUUUGUCUGUCUGUGUUUGUGUGUGUGUGUGUGUGUGUGUGUGUGUGUGUGUGUGUGUGUGUGUGUGUGUGACCGAAAGUGACAAUAUAAAUAAUAAAACUGAAUUUUCUUGUCGCGUGACGUGGUCGAACAUGUACUGACCUCGGCUUCGGCUUCCUCUCCCUUCCCUCUCCUCUUCCACUCCUCUCCCUUCCCUCUCCUCCUCUCGCAGAGUUACCAGCUGGCCGUGAAGUUGGAGCCCACACUCACCCACGCCCACGUCAACUUGGGCGCGCUCUACCACACAAAGGGUGACUAUACGAGGGCGUGGAGGCACUACCUUACCGCCCACGGCCUCGAGCCCUCCAACACCCUACUGCUGGAGAACAUGGAGAAGCUACGCCGAGCACAAGACUUGAAGACCACAGCGUCCGGACUCCCGCACUGCCUCACGAAGUCCUGAUGGUGGUGGAACCCGGGCCUCUGGUAGUUACUGUUGCCAAAUGUACGGGGCGUGGUCUGCCGUGGGCGUGGGCGUAAUGAUGGGCGUAAAGGUGGACGUGGUAUUGCUCGAAGGGGAAAGAUUUGGGAAGUAGUGGAGGAGGUGAAGUGUUGGUGGUGUGGGUUGCCUUUGCCGUGUUACUGCUGCUGCUGCUGCUACUACUGAUGCCGCCGCUGCUGUUCCUGCUACUGCUGAUGCUUCGUUUGGGUUAUUUCUAGUUUUUUAUGUUGUUAGUGUAGGUGUGGUGUUUGUGUUUGUUUCUGAUUUUUGUUUUAUUGUACCACGGUGCUGAUGAGGUGUUUUUGUGAUGGUGGUGGUGGUGCGGUGCGUGGCGCGUGUGGCUGUGUUGAUGAAUGUGUCUUUUGGCGAGCUGAUUGAAUACUGUUUGGUCUUUCGUUUUAGUUUUUUUUUUUUUUUCCAGUGUUGGGUGGAGGGAAUUCUGCAGUCAUCUGAACACACCUACACUCAAAUAAACACCAGGUUAUUGCUUCCACACCCCUGCUAUGGAAAAGGGAACACACACACACACACACACACACACACACAUACACACACACACACACACACACACACACACACACACACACACACACACACACACACGGAAUCCUUUGAAGCAGAUUUUCAUUUACCUUGUACUCACUGCAGUACACGACCCUUCUGUUACUCCUCCUCCUCUUUCUCCUCCUCCUCCUCCUCCUCCUCCUCUUCCUCCUCCUCCAGAUUGUUUAAAACGUGCGGUCCUCGUCUCCUACUCCGUUUCCUUCGCUUUCCAUCACGAGUGGAGGAAAAUGGGAUAUAAUUCAGAUAAAAUAAUAGGAGAGUGUCGAAGUGCCGCAGCCCGCAGAGUGAGGCAGGUGUUUCCAAGGUGACGUGUGGGACGCGGGGGGCGGAGGCGGGGAGGAGUGUGUGGGUGAAGAUUUUGCUGCGGACCUAACCAGACUGAAGGGGCUUGCUUGUUGUGGCUGUUGUUGUUGUGGUGAUUGCUGUGGUGGUUGUAGUUGUUGUGGUUAUUAUUAUUUUCACUUCUACUACUACUACUACUACUACUACAACUACCACUAUUAUAUUGUCAUUACUACUACUGCUACUAUUACUACUACUACUACUACUACUACUACUACUACUACUACUACUACUACUACCACCACCACCACCAUCAUUACUACUAGAAGACGCUCCGUAAAGUCAUAUUUUUUAAUCUUUUUACGUACUAUAUCAUCUACUUCCUUAAACAAUACUAAAAAAAACACUUCUCCCUUUAAAAAGAACACCCAGAAAUAUUCAAAUACACUACACACACACACACACACACACACACACACACACACACACACACACACACACACACACACACACACACACACAACACCAUCAAUAAAAAUCCUGUCUUUCCCCUUCCCCCUCCCCGUCUCCCCUUCCCCCUUAGCUAUCCUACAUCCCUCUCUUUACCCACCAUUUUUCUCUCCCCCAGUUUCCUCCUCCGUCUCCCCCCUCCCCACCUCGGCGCAGAGUAGUGCUGAUUGGGUGUCGCUGUUUUUCAGGUUCGGCUUGUCAGUUUCCCGUUUUUUGUCGCUUUUUCGUACGUUGGACCUGUAUUUGGGGCAUUGUGAGACUAAUGUUGUUAGAGAGAGAGAGAGAGAGAGAGAGAGAGAGUAUACUUGUGUGUGUGUGUGUACGAUGCAUGCUAAUUUCGAUAGACGGAACGUGUUAGCUUCCCUGCGAACAGUGCAAAUGGCAACCCUCAGAUAAUGCAACACUCCACGCCACACUGCACAACACGCCGCAACACAAAGCAAUACAUGUCACCGGGAUGCAACAACACACUGCCACACACACGUCAACACAUUACACUCCACUUCAUAACACCUCUCCCGCCACAACACUGCAAGCAAGCCAUAUUAACGCUCAUCACACACCGCACACUAUUCACCAUACAACACCACCACAAUACACGGCCACUCAUCACCAUCAUAUAUUGUUUUAGGGCACCACCUCACGCCACACCAUACUACAUACCAUAUCACCAUAACAUACAUCACCAUUCUAAUCACCACACCACUUACACGGAAAGCACAGCGCAAGGACGCCACGCUUUGAGCCACAGCAACACAGGAAGUUUAGGCCUCAGAUCCAGUCGAGAUGGAUAGGUGGAAGAGGAAUUACAGAACCAGACUAGAACCUCAAACCCAAAACAGAACAAGAGCAGGGGAAAAAGAAGAGUAGCUAAGGUGUGAGGGGAGGAAAAAUGCAAAAAUGCUCUAAAUUCACAUAGAAAAAUAAGAAAAUAAGGAUUGUGCGUUUUUUUUUUUUUUUUUUUUGGUGUAAUAUGAAGAAUAUAACCAGACAGAAUUAGAAACUCAACCAUAAAAAGAAAUAUAAAUAAAAGUAACAGAGGAGUAAGGAAAAAAAAAACUGUCACAUUGAAAACGGGGAAAAAAAUAGGGAUAUCACACUGCACUUGGUUUUUUUUUAUUUCCGUGCUUAGUUCACUCGGGGGAAAAAAAAAUGAGCAUUACUAUUAUUAAAGUAUUUGCGCCUUUUCUAGAAUGAUGCCAGCAAUUAAGGGAUGCAUGACUGGGAAUUACACGGCAACGCUCUGGAAUUAAAGCGGUAAUCAACAUAUUUCGGUUAAUGCACUGAUUUAUCGAAGAGUGCGGAGGGGCAAGGGAAAGAGGUGAUGAUGAUGAUGAUGAUGAUGAUGAUGAUGAUGGCGGCUAGUGCUGGCAACCGUGAUAUACCUGAGAGAGAAGGGAAAAUAAAAAGAAAUGAUUCGGCAGGUAGCGUGACGUGAUGAGUGAUGGACGUGACAGUGACAUGGUGAUGGUGAUGAGAGUGACGCAAUACCUGACAGGUGUGACGUGAAUUAGGGAAUUACUUCUCUCAUGGAUUUGUGUGAUUUAGUGACGCCAUUGACUUCUAUUACUACGACUAUAAAUGAAACAGCGUGCAAUGUAAUAGUAAAGAGUUAAAAAAAAAUAUUCGUGACAUUUCCUCGCGACACAUUUUCCUUUCCAAACGUCAUGAUGAAAAGCGGAAUGAAUUGUACCCUCGAGUUAGUGUACCCGAGGGUGGAAUUGUACCCAGCGUUGGUAAUUCCCUUCAUUCCUCCUCCAGUGUCAUGGGGAAAGUGUUAAAUAAAUAGCUUAUAUUUGCGUUCGUCACUUGCAAUGCUACUGCCGCCGACUCGGUUGCCGUCGCUGCUGCUGCUGCUAUUGCUACUGGUGACUGCUGACUUAUUGUGGCCUGCUGUGUACUCUUGAAAGUUGCGUCUUCUUUUCUUUUUUUUUUCAUUCUUUUCCUUUUCUGAUAGCUGCUGCCUCUUCUGACUGCUAUUACUAGUAACUCUGUUUUAUAUUACUGACUAACUGACUGACUGACUGACUGACUGACUGACUGACUGACUGACUGACUGACUACUACUACUACUACUACUACUACUACUACUACUACUACUACUACUACUACUACUACUACUACUACUACUACUACUACUAAUAAUAAUAAUAAUAAUAAUAAUAAUAAUAAUAAUAAUAAUAAUAAUACCACCACCACCACGACUGUAACCAUACUCGUACACUACUAAAAGAUCGCAGGAACAAACAAAACGACACUAACCUUGAAAAUUGACGACAUACGAGAGUAGAGAGAAUCACCAAGGGCACGGGGAUAAGGAGGAAAGUUGAGGAGAUAACAGAAAGUAAAGGACGUGAGAUGUAGCGAAGACAUAGGAGAGGUACAUGGGAUUUCUUCGCCCCCGCACCACCCUCAGGAGCCGCAUUAGGGGGAUUAAGUGGGCUACAGCCUCUUCGGGAGCUCCCAGGUCGAUGGUACCCGUUUGUUUUUUGCUGCCCAAGUUAUAAUUUAUCGUUAUGGCCGACCUACCGCUAACACUACUACUACUACUACUACUACUACUCUCUCUCUCUCUCUCUCUCUCUCUCUCUCUUAGUAGCGGUGGUGGGAAUGGAGUGCUGGAAUUUUAAUGGCGUGUUUCUUAGCCGCGUUGCCCUUUUUAUUAUUGUCAUUACUUUUUUCCCCUAACGAGGUAAUGGGAUCGUUUGUUAGCAUGACGUACGGUUACGGGGGGAGGCGGUGAAGAGGGUGUGUGCGUUGGCAAGACGUGUAGGAGUACUGGUAAACAUUGUGGGGCUAUUCCAGAGGCCAAAAGGGAUGCGAGGCCUACUCGUAUAGUCAUUUCACGGGGGUUUUAUGGGCCAGUGUUUGAGAUGGGAAGGUGGGAGCGUGGGAGGGUUCAGGUUAGGUGGUGGUGAAACUUUUAAAGGGAGAGAUGAUUUUAGGAGCCUUAACUGGAGAGCUACUGUGUUAAGGGAGUGUUAAAGGGGAGGGUGUUGGAUUCCUGUGUUGCCUGACGCUAGUGUUUCAUUCAUUCAUUCAUAUGUUCAUUCAUUCAUUCAAGAGCGAAGGUUCUUGUCGAGAGCGAGGCAGAGAGGGAGCUUUAGGAGUUGUUUUCAAGUGGAUGUUCUCUUCCAGUCGGGGUAAUAUUUAUGAUAUUGUUCAUUUUGAGUGACGUUACCUGGCUCUGAGAAACGUUUCAGUGACGUUUUAGUAAAUAUCUUAUGUUUGGCAAAAAUUUAAUGACUGUUUUCAAAGGGAUGUUCUUUUCCAGACUGGAGAAUAUCAAAGGAAUUGUACAUUUCGAGAACCUGAGUUGAUUUUAAAAAAGUUUUCAGGGUUUUCCCUAGAAAUUACUUUUUUUUUACUUGUUUUCAAGGGAAUCUGGUCCUUAGUUUGGGAAAUGUAAAAGUAAUUCUUAAUUCUAAGGACAUUAAUUUAUUUUUGGGAAAUUUAAGGGAUUUUGCAAAGUUUUAUGUGCUAUUUUCAAGGAGCUGUUUGCUUAAAUUUGAAGAUGGUGAAGAAAAUACUGAUUUUAAGGAACGUUAAUUGACUUGCCUUAAAAAUAGCUUGACUGACCAACACACCAACGCACCAAAUCAUUGAUUGACUGACUGACUGACUACCUGAUUGACCGCCAAGCUUCACUGAUUAGAUAACCAUUCCAGCAUUGAAGAUCGUCUGAUGAGGUAAACCAGUGAUUGACAAAAUUGAGUGAGGGGUGAAAUGACCGUCUUAUUGACACACUGACUGGCUGGCUGCGAGGAAGGUGUGUGUGUGUGUGUGUGUGUGUGUGUGUGUGUGUGUGUGUGUGUGCGCGCUCGCUCGCGUGUGUGCGUGCCUGCGCGCGCGAGGCGGUGGCGCGAGGCGAGAGGCUUUGUGAGUCCUAAGGGAGAUUAGAUUGUACAGCCACGCACUGCUCGGGGGAAGAAAAUACGUAAUUAGGUCAUUAGGGUUUAUUGUGUGUGUGUGUGUGUGUGUGUGUGUGUGUGUAUGUGUGUGUGUGUGGUUAUUUGUAUGUUUCUUAUUUUUGGGUGUGUAUAGGUCUAAAUGUGUGUUAGUUUAUUUUAUUAUUUCUAAGUGUGUUUAGGUGUGUGUGUGUGUGUGUGUGUGUGUGUGAAUGUGCGUGCGAGCGUGCGAAUACGGGCGUGCCAUGUAUAAUCCAAGCACACACGUCUGCAGCGCGGCUCACACAUCGAUCCCGCUUCGUCGUGGUGUGCGGGAAUCAAUCUGGUCGACAAGGCAGAGUGAUUUUCUGUGUUUAUCGGCAGCGAGGCGAGGCAGCGGCAGGUCACGCAGGACACCCACCCGCCCGCCGGCUGUUUGCUCGUGGAGUUGAGGACAAAGACAAAUAAUCAUAUACACUGUUAGUAAUCCGCUUGCUAGGUAUAACUAUUUACAAUUCUAUAUAUAUAAACGAGUAUAUACUACACCUACAUACUACAUACAAACGUUCUUAACCUUCGCUUGUAACAUGAAGGAUUACCGAAGGUUGCUGGAGGUGUGUAGGGGGACGGGUGGGUGGGUGGGUUGGGAGAGAGUAGCCCACAACACAGUGCCGGCGUGGGUCGGGCGGCGUGGCGUGGUGGUCACUGUAUAUAUGGUGUGUGCAUAACCCGUGUGUCAACCCAUACCUGUGUUAAGCCAAGUCCUGCUCACAUUCCGGGGCUGAGGGUGCUUGGACCACAAGGAAGCUUUGGGUUUUCAAAAAAUUACAUCAGCAUGUAUAAAAAAAGCAACGUUUUCAGUUUUCCUUGUGUUUUUGAAGUCAUCUCAGCCUCAUUCUAUCCCCCUCUGGUCGACUGGACUGUAGUUUGUACCGCUGUAGGUGUGAGCUAACCAGAAAAAUCGCUAUUUUUGUAGAAAGUAUGUAAUAAAUAUUUUCAUGAGCCGUA
This is a long non-coding RNA of Scylla paramamosain (green mud crab), 7023 nucleotides long. RefSeq lists it as uncharacterized. The transcript has 2 exons. NCBI's taxonomy places the organism in Eukaryota, Metazoa, Arthropoda, Malacostraca, Decapoda, Portunidae. The record is from RefSeq and is a predicted model, not a curated record.